This is a long non-coding RNA of Xenia sp. Carnegie-2017, 243 nucleotides long. RefSeq lists it as uncharacterized. The transcript is spliced from 4 exons. The record is from RefSeq and is a predicted model, not a curated record. Lineage: Eukaryota; Metazoa; Cnidaria; Anthozoa; Malacalcyonacea; Xeniidae.
GUUUUACAACAAAUCUUUGAUUUGGGAUUACCCUUCACCAAGUAAAUUGUACGGAAGAAUUUUGUCCUCCGGCAUCCAACCCAUUUUGCUGUAAGCAGUCAGCCCGAUAUGUAAGCAAUAUUUAUCAGGCGCUCGUUAAAACUUGGGAAGACUCAGGUGCAACUUACGGAAGUUUGAGUAGUGAUUCAAGAGAUAUUAUUCAACUUAUUCAAGAUAGUUAUGAUAAAAUUACUUCCGGGUUCA